This is a long non-coding RNA of Mercenaria mercenaria, 2496 nucleotides long. RefSeq lists it as uncharacterized. The record is from RefSeq and is a predicted model, not a curated record. The transcript has 2 exons. NCBI's taxonomy places the organism in Eukaryota, Metazoa, Mollusca, Bivalvia, Venerida, Veneridae.
AUCUGUAUGCAAGACAAUUACAAGAAGUAUUCAGUAGAAUCAGUAUGCAAGACAGUUACAUGAAGACCUUGUGACUCUGGUGCCAGACAAAAUUACAACAGUCAGUCAUAAUGUUUAGUUACAUAUUAAAGUUAAAGCCAUUAUCAUAUAAAUAUAGCCAUGCCAUGAAAGUGACUGAUUAGGAAUAGUUGAAACACAUCUAUUGUCAGCUUCAACCACUAAUUUCUUACAUGUAAUGUCAAAUCAGUCCAUACAUAAAACUUCUACAAGGCAUAAAUAUUGUUUUUACUUGGAAAGAGAAAGAGUUUUUUCCCAAAGCUUUUCAUGUAAAAUUUGCAUACUGUUCACUUGGCCAUUAUUUCUGGAUUCCUCACCAUUCUGUACUGUUCUUGGCAAGUGACUAAAACCCAGUUAGUAAAAUAAAUAAACUUUAGAUACAUUUUGUUUUGAAAGCCUUGCCAGGAAUUCAAACCUAUUACUCUUUUUAUAGAAGUCUUUGUGCUAAAUAUGUACUGAGCUAACUGCCCAGGGCAUUUUUAUCUCACAUUUCAGCCUUUUUCAGUAUUUUUUCAUUUUACAGAUCAACCACUGUGGAUUGUUUGGCUUGAUGCAAUGACCUUAAACAGUGAAAUGAUUUUCCAGGAAGGUCUAUACACAACAAGCUGGAUUUUAUGGGGUGAUGAAAGAACUAUGAAUAUAUAAAUGGGAAUGAAACAGAAGGAAUUAAUAUGUUCUACUGAUCAUCCAGCUGAAAUCAUGCCUGUGGAAUAGAGUGCAUGUCACAAAUACUGAUAUGAGCAAAUAACUCCAUAUUGCACAAAUAAUGUCAUGUUUCCUUCCCUCAUGACCUGAAAAAGUUAAAAAUUCUAGUUCAAAUUACAGAUGUGUUUCAAGAAAAAGCUGUGAAGUUGUUUGUGAAGCACUAUCCUAAUUGUUCUAACAAUACAGAAUUUAACUUAUAAAUUUUCCAAAACUGCAUGCAUGAAAUACUAAGACAUGUCUGUUGAAUGAAUCCUAGUUGUUUCAAAACUACAACAUGUGUGACAUUAAAGCACAACCUUUGGAGGAAACAUUUUUACAAUAAAAACUGCCUUGCCAGUGUGAGUGUAGGAAGGAUUUUUCUAGAAAUGGCAGAAAACUACCAAUAUAGCAGAAAAUAUUUGUUACUGGCUGAAUAUAAUAUAUUUUAUUUCAAGAAUUAAUCAUGUCAAUCCAUGGUUAUAAUUGUGUUAAAAGAUAUUUUUAGAUGACAUGACCUUUGCAGAAAUAGCUAUUUUUUUGCAAAACAUUGUGAGUUGCCAUGGUAACACAAAUUUGACUUAAAUUUAGAUUUGUUUGAUUAUGUAAACAGCAUGUGUCUUGUUUAUAUUCUGCUAAUCAGACUGCAAGAAAAUAUCUUUUAUGUGUAACCAUCAACAAAACAUAUCAUAACACAUAUCUGCCAUAAAAUGGCAGAGCUGUAAUGCAGGUAGGCAUAUCAGGAAAAUAUGUAGUUCUGAAAGACAAGUUAUAUUACAUAAAAUGAUGUUUUUUUUUUUUUUAUAAUGAUCAUAAUUGACCAUUUGUGGUGUAAAACAAAUGUAUACUGAACAGAUGCUAAAUGAAUGUUCUGAUUCUUUCUGGAAAAUUUACAAAAAGCUAUUAUUUUAAGAAAAUAGUACAUUGUUGCCAUGGUAACAUUGAUUUAACUUUAAUAUUAAAUUAUUUUGGAUAUCAUCAUAUGUAAACAACAUCUUUCUUGUUUAUAUGUUAUAUAUCUUAAGCUGUAUUAUGUUAGUGAAUAUAUUUUCAUAUGUAAUAAUUGCAUCAACAAAGCACUAUGUUAUUACACAAGCCUGCCUUAAAAUGGCAAUAGUUGUAACUGAGAGAGGUGUAUCUGAAAAUUAUGUAUUUCUCAAACCAUAUUACAUUAAUUUUCACAGAAUGAUGUCUACUCUCUUACUUUUAAAUAAGAAAACAGACAGCUUUUGAUGUAAAUAUAUGGGAAAACACUUCCAAUAUUCAAUUAAUUACAAAGAAAUUGCCAAAAAUGUUAGUAUUUUUGUAAGAAAAUACCACAUUGUUGCCAUGGUAAUGUUAGUAUUUUUGUAAGAAAAUACCACAUCGUUGCCAUGGUAAUGAUUCACUGAUCAGUAGAUCUAACAGUUAAUAAUAACAGUCUAAUAAUUUUCUUUCUUACUGUUUAAUAGUUAAGGUGUCUAUAAUAAUAAGAUUAUUGUCCUAGUUUUUGGAAUGUUGUCUAAUUUGAUAUCAAAUAAAUUCUGUAUCUUGUUCAAAAGAAUGUCAUAAAACAGUUGUCUGCAAACUGUUAGCACACUAGAAAAAGUUAAUUGUGUAUUUAUUUCACAUUCUAUGUAAUUUAUUGCUAGAUUCAUCAAGAGACUGUUAAAAAAGAGGUUAAACAACAGUGUUGCUAUAGAAACGAUUUUUAGAACAUAAAUAUUUUUAUACUACAUGAAAGAAAGAGACAAAAAGAAAUACAUUCCAUUAAUUGCA